CCUACGGGAGGCAGCAGUGAGGAAUAUUGGUCAAUGGGCGCGAGCCUGAACCAGCCAAGUCGCGUGAGGGAAGACUGUCCUAUGGAUUGUAAACCUCUUUUGUCGGGGAGCAAAAGACGCCACGCGUGGCGUUCCGAGAGUACCCGAAGAAAAAGCAUCGGCUAACUCCGUGCCAGCAGCCGCGGUAAUACGGAGGAUGCGAGCGUUAUCCGGAUUUAUGGGGUUUAAAGGUUGCGCAGGCGGAAGAUCAAGUCAGCGGUAAAAUUGAGAGGCUCAACCUCUUCGAGCCGUUGAAACUGGUUUUCUUGAGUGAGUGAGAAGUAUGCGGAAUGCGUGGUGUAGCGGUGAAAUGCAUAGAUAUCACGCAGAACUCCGAUUGCGAAGGCAGCAUACCGGCGCUCAACUGACGCUCAUGCACGAAAGUGUGGGUAUCGAACAGGAUUAGAUACCCUAGUAGUC
This 459-nucleotide ribosomal RNA is filed under the name uncultured bacterium. RNAcentral's name for it is "partial 16S ribosomal RNA". It matches the Rfam family "Bacterial small subunit ribosomal RNA", at positions 338 to 795 of the family's 1533-position model. The record is from RNAcentral.